UACAGAGGUCUCAAGCGUUGUUCGGAUUCACUGGGCGUAAAGGGUGCGUAGGUGGUUUGGUAAGUCUGAUGUGAAAUCUCCGAGCUCAACUCGGAAACGGCAUUGGAUACUAUCGAGCUAGAGGAUUGGAGGGGGGACUGGAAUUCUUGGUGUAGCAGUGAAAUGCGUAGAUAUCAAGAGGAACACCAGUGGCGAAGGCGAGUCCCUGGACAAUUCCUGACACUGAGGCACGAAAGCUAGGGGAG
RNAcentral lists this ribosomal RNA (245 nucleotides) under uncultured bacterium. RNAcentral's name for it is "partial 16S ribosomal RNA". It matches the Rfam family "Bacterial small subunit ribosomal RNA", at positions 524 to 768 of the family's 1533-position model. The record is from RNAcentral.